This 253-nucleotide ribosomal RNA is filed under the name uncultured bacterium. Its description in RNAcentral is "partial 16S ribosomal RNA". It matches the Rfam family "Bacterial small subunit ribosomal RNA", at positions 524 to 776 of the family's 1533-position model. The record is from RNAcentral.
GACAGAGGUGCCGAGCGUUAGGCGGAAUCACUGGGCUUAAAGCGUGUGUAGGCGGAUCGUUAAGUGCCUUGUGAAAUCCCACGGCUCAACCGUGGAACUGCUUGGCAUACUGGCGAUCUUGAGCCACUUAGGGGCUACCGGAACAAAUGGUGGAGCGGUGAAAUGCGUAGAUAUCGGGAGGAACACCUAUUGCGAAGGCAGCUCGCUGGGACGUUACUGACGCUGAGACGCGAAAGCGUGGGGAGCAAACAGG